UACGGAGGGUGCAAGCGUUAUCCGGAUUUACUGGGUUUAAAGGGUGCGUAGGUGGGUAAGUAAGUCAGUGGUGAAAUCUUCGAGCUUAACUCGGAAACUGCCAUUGAUACUAUUUAUCUUGAAUACUUUGGAGGUAAGCGGAAUAUAUCAUGUAGCGGUGAAAUGCUUAGAUAUGACAUAGAACACCAAUUGCGAAGGCAGCUUACUACACAGUUAUUGACACUGAGGCACGAAAGCGUGGGGAUCAAACAGG
Molecule: ribosomal RNA, 253 nt
Filed under: uncultured bacterium
Lineage: Bacteria
Description: partial 16S ribosomal RNA
Rfam family: Bacterial small subunit ribosomal RNA
Source: RNAcentral